This is a small nucleolar RNA of Ipomoea nil (Japanese morning glory), 87 nucleotides long. It matches the Rfam family "Small nucleolar RNA R21". Rfam says of the family: snoR21 is a member of the C/D class of snoRNA which contain the C (UGAUGA) and D (CUGA) box motifs. Most of the members of the box C/D family function in directing site-specific 2'-O-methylation of substrate RNAs. Lineage: Eukaryota; Viridiplantae; Streptophyta; Magnoliopsida; Solanales; Convolvulaceae. The record is from Rfam.
CGCCCCUAUGAAGAAUGUUUUCAAUCAAUGUUAAAAGUAGUGGACUGAAUAUUAUGCAUUGAGGAUAAAUUUAAACUCUGAGGGGUU